GGUGGGGAUGACGUCAAGUCCUCAUGGCCCUUAUGGUAGGGCUUCACACGUCAUACAAUGGUCGGUACAGAGGGUUGCCAAGCCGCGAGGUGGAGCCAAUCCCUUAAAGCCGAAUCGUAGUCCGGAUCGUAGUCUGCAACUCGACUACGUGAAGUCGGAAUCGCUAGUAAUCGCAGAUCAGCAUGCUGCGGUGAAUACGUCCCCGGGUCUU
Molecule: ribosomal RNA, 211 nt
Filed under: uncultured Thauera sp.
Lineage: Bacteria; Pseudomonadati; Pseudomonadota; Betaproteobacteria; Rhodocyclales; Zoogloeaceae
Description: partial 16S ribosomal RNA
Rfam family: Bacterial small subunit ribosomal RNA
Source: RNAcentral